This 1194-nucleotide ribosomal RNA is filed under the name Triticum aestivum (bread wheat). RNAcentral describes it as "partial small subunit ribosomal RNA". The record is from RNAcentral. Lineage: Eukaryota; Viridiplantae; Streptophyta; Magnoliopsida; Poales; Poaceae.
AUGACCGUCAUCAAUGCCUUUUCCGAGCUUUCUGCGUCCAAUUUCCACAUCAUCAACACAGCCAAUGUCGUGCUUCUGCCUAAAAAGGACGGUGCGGAGUCCAUAUCGGAUUUCAGGCCCAUCAGUCUCAUCCAUGUGGUUCCGAAGAUCAUCGUCAAAGCUAUGGCACGACGUCUCAGCCCGAAGAUGAACGACAUUGUUUCCCGCAGUCAGAGCGCUUUCAUCAAGUCUAGAACUAUCCACGACAAUUUCUUGUACGUCAGGAACACCGCCCGCCGGUUACACCGCUGCAAAACUCCAUCACUUCUGAUCAAAUUGGACAUCGCCAAGGCCUUCGACUCUGUUCGCUGGGAUUACAUGCUGGAUCUUUUGCAAUGCCUCGGCUUUCCUCAAAGAUGGCGGGCCCUCCUGACGACUCUCUUCACCACGGCCUCCUCUAGGGUUUUCCUCAACGGAAUCCCUGGGAGGGACAUCAUGCAUGGACGGGGUUUUCGUCAGGGCGAUCCCAUCUCGCCCCUUCUGUUCGACAUCGCCAUCGACCCACUUCAGAGACUUCUGGAAAAGGCUACGGAAUCCGGCUUGCUGUCUGCUAUGCCUGGAGGUAUUCAGGGCCCCAGGGUCUCCCUAUAUGCGGACGACGCUGCCAUUUUUCUAUCCCCCACGGCACAUGAUGUGGAAGGCCUUGCUAGCAUUCUACAGAGUUUUGGGGUAGUCUCUGGCCUCGUGACAAAUGUGACCAAGAGCUCCAUCGCCCCCAUCCAAUGCGCCAACAUUAACUUGGAGGAGAUUCUGGCGAACUUCCCAGCGACUACAACCCCCUUCCCCAUUAAGUAUCUGGGGUUGCCCCUCUCCCUCGGAAGACUUAGGCGUGUGGACCUUCAACCCUACAUCGACAAAGCGGUGGCUCGUCUUAGCCCGUGGAAAGGAAAGUUCCUGAACCGUGCCGGGUGCACUGCUCUGGUUAAGUCUGUGCUCUCCUCCAUGCCAAUCUUCCUGCUGACGGCUUUAAAGGCUGACAAAGGCAUCCUCAAGGCCUUUGCGAAGAUCAGUCGUGGCAUGCUCUGGGCCUGUAAGGAGGCGGUUAGUGGAGGGAAAUGCAAAGUCAACUGGCAAAAGGUCUGCCGCCCCAAGGAGCUCGGUGGUUUGGGGGUUUUGGACCUGGAGAGGUUCUCCCGGGCCCUGAGGCUUCGCUAG